GACGUAGGGGGCCAGCGUUGUUCGGAAUUACUGGGUGUAAAGGGUUCGUAGGCGGUGCGGCAAGUCGGGAGUGAAAUCUCUGGGCUUAACCCAGAGGCUGCUUCCGAAACUGCUGUGCUUGAGUGUGGGAGAGGCGCGUGGAAUUGCAGGUGUAGCGGUGAAAUGCGUAGAUAUCUGCAGGAACACCCGUGGCGAGAGCGGCGCGCUGGACCACUACUGACGCUGAGGAACGAAAGCUAGGGGAGCAAACAGG
RNAcentral lists this ribosomal RNA (253 nucleotides) under uncultured bacterium. RNAcentral's name for it is "partial 16S ribosomal RNA". It matches the Rfam family "Bacterial small subunit ribosomal RNA", at positions 524 to 776 of the family's 1533-position model. The record is from RNAcentral.